CAGCAGUUGUAGUUGUAGUGGCAGGCUCACUGGCGUACUACAGUUGCUCGCCAGCUCAACCAUGGCUUUAAUAAUGCGGGUACUUCAAUUGUCUCUACUCCUUGAUGUGGGGUGUCAAGUACAUGCUUACAGGAUCGGAUAUGCUGAGCCGGAGAUGCCUACGUAUGGGCUGCAGCAGCCUCCUAGCUACAAUUCCCAGCAGGAAGCUACUAGCUACAAGCGCGAGCAGCAGCAGCAUCCUAGCUACAAGCCCCAGCAACAGCAGCAACAUGCUAGCUACAAGCCCCAGCAUCCUAGCUACAAGCCCCAGCAGAAGCAUCCUAGCGACAAGCCGCAGCAGCAGCAUCC
Molecule: long non-coding RNA, 348 nt
Organism: Gadus morhua (Atlantic cod)
Lineage: Eukaryota; Metazoa; Chordata; Actinopteri; Gadiformes; Gadidae
Exons: 3
Source: RefSeq, a predicted model, not a curated record